UACGACGGGGGCUAGCGUUGCUCGGAAUCACUGGGCGUAAAGCGCACGUAGGCGGCUUUCUAAGUCAGGGGUGAAAUCCUGGAGCUCAACUCCAGAACUGCCCUUGAUACUGGAGAGCUUGAGUUCGGGAGAGGUGAGUGGAACUGCGAGUGUAGAGGUGAAAUUCGUAGAUAUUCGCAAGAACACCAGUGGCGAAGGCGGCUCACUGGCCCGAUACUGACGCUGAGGUGCGAAAGCGUGGGGAGCAAACAGG
Molecule: ribosomal RNA, 253 nt
Filed under: uncultured bacterium
Lineage: Bacteria
Description: partial 16S ribosomal RNA
Rfam family: Bacterial small subunit ribosomal RNA
Source: RNAcentral